Molecule: ribosomal RNA, 711 nt
Filed under: uncultured bacterium
Lineage: Bacteria
Description: bacterial SSU rRNA
Rfam family: Bacterial small subunit ribosomal RNA
Source: RNAcentral
CAGUGGCGAAGGCGCUCUACUGGGCCGUAACUGACGCUGAGGGACGAAAGCUAGGGGAGCGAAAGGGAUUAGAUACCCCUGUAGUCCUAGCUGUAAACGAUGGAUACUAGGUGUUGGACGUAUCGACCCGUUCAGUACCGCAGCCAACGCGAUAAGUAUCCCGCCUGGGGAGUACGCACGCAAGUGUGAAACUCAAAGGAAUUGACGGGGGCCCGCACAAGCGGUGGAGUAUGUGGUUUAAUUCGAUGCAACGCGAAGAACCUUACCAGGGCUUGACAUCCCUCGAAUCCUCUUGAAAGAGAGGAGUGCCUUCGGGAGCGAGGAGACAGGUGGUGCAUGGCUGUCGUCAGCUCGUGUCGUGAGAUGUUGGGUUAAGUCCCGCAACGAGCGCAACCCACGUCCUUAGUUGCCAUCAUUAAGUUGGGCACUCUGGGGAGACUGCCGGGGACAACUCGGAGGAAGGUGUGGAUGACGUCAAGUCAUCAUGCCCCUUACGUUCUGGGCUACACACGUACUACAAUGCUUCGGACAAAGAGCAGCCAACUAGCGAUAGUGAGCUAAUCUCAUAAACCGAGGCACAGUUCAGAUUGCAGGCUGCGACUCGCCUGCAUGAAGGAGGAAUCGCUAGUAAUCGCCGGUCAGCAUACGGCGGUGAAUACGUUCCCGGGCCUUGUACACACCGCCCGUCACACCAUGGGAGUUGGCCACGCC